RNAcentral lists this ribosomal RNA (964 nucleotides) under Laterallus jamaicensis. Its description in RNAcentral is "partial 16S ribosomal RNA". It matches the Rfam family "Bacterial large subunit ribosomal RNA", at positions 848 to 2521 of the family's 2925-position model. Lineage: Eukaryota; Metazoa; Chordata; Aves; Gruiformes; Rallidae. The record is from RNAcentral.
GCUGGUUGCCUGUGAACGAAUCUAAGUUCCCCCUUAAUUUUACCCACAAGACCAAACCACUUUUCCCGUAGAAAUUAAGAGUAAUUUAAAGGAGGUACAACUCCUUUAAAAAAGAACACAAUCUCUGCUAGAGGAUAAGCCAGUCCACUCCAUACUUGUAGGCCUUCAAGCAGCCAUCAACAAAGAAUGCGUCAAAGCUCUAUACAACAAAAAUAUAAGAACAUAUACGACUCCCUAAUCUAUAACAGGCUAACCUAUCAAAAAUAGGAGCAUUAAUGCUAGAAUAAGUAACCAAGGAAAUUCCUUCUAAAGCACAAACUUACGUACUACAUCAAUUAACAGAACAACUAAUAUUCCAACCACUACAAGACCAGAUAUUAAACACAACUGUUAUACCAACUCAGGAGUGCCUAAAUAGAAAGAUUUAAACCUGUAAAAGGAACUAGGCAAACCCAAGGCCCGACUGUUUACCAAAAACAUAGCCUUCAGCAAACCAAGUAUUGAAGGUGACGCCUGCCCGGUGACACAAAGUUUAACGGCCGCGGUAUCCUAACCGUGCAAAGGUAGCGCAAUCAAUUGUCCCAUAAAUCGAGACUUGUAUGAACGGCCAAACGAGGUCUUAACUGUCUCUUACAGGUAAUCAGUGAAAUUGAUCUCCCCGUGCAAAAGCGGGGAUAAACCCAUAAGACGAGAAGACCCUGUGGAACUUAAAAAACAGCAGCCACUCCAAAUCAAAUUAAACCCACUUGGCCCACUACCAAGGACAACUGGCCUGCAUAUUUUCGGUUGGGGCGACCUUGGAGAAAAGCAUAUCCUCCAAAAACAAGACCACACCUCUUCACCAAGAUCAACAACUCAACGUACUAAUAGUGACCAGACCCAGCAAAGCUGACCAAUGGACCAAGCUACCCCAGGGAUAACAGCGCAAUCCCCUUCAAGAGCUCAUAUCGACAAGGGGGUUUAC